AUCCCCAAGAAUAGUGUUGUAAGGGUAUUAUUGUAAAAAUAAAGUAAAAGUAAAGAUAAGUGUAACAUACUUAACAACAAAUAUGUCUUGAGUAUUCUUUUAAAUAUAAAUAUUAAAUGGGCACUGAACUCAAAAUAUAGAAAUUAAAAGAGUAUUUAUCCAUAAUAAUAAUAUUACUUACUCCAAUUUGGUGUACACAGUAAUCUUGAGUUUGUUAUGAACUUGCUAGAAAAUCAGUAUCAAUAAUCACACACACACACACAUAUUCAUGUCUGUUCAUUAAUUUGCAAUGUAAUUCACAAUUUUUGUUUUCUUAGAGCUUGAUCUUGCAUAUUAAAGUUCAAGAAUAAUAAUGGUAAAUCUCAAACAUUUGUCCCCUUUAAAUGACAAAUAUUAAAUUAUCUGAUCAAUACGUAGAGAUCUAAGCCUAACCAUACACGAAUGGAAUUACUUUUCAUGACUUUCAAGCUAAUUUUCUAGUCUUAGUUAAAAGAUUUAUGACCUCAUGUUCUCUUAAGCUUCAUUUAAUUUGUAUGUAUCAUCCAGAUAUAAUCUUAUUUAGUAGAUAUCCGACCUUUUCUUUGCUCUCCGUAAAUGCAUAAAACUUGAUUAAGUGCAUGUUUGGAACUAUGUGCUAUGACUAAAUUUAUUACGAAUAAUUAGUUAUCAAGUCUAAGUAAAGUAAGAGUUCACAAGAGUGAAUAGUUGAUAAGUAUUAAUAAGUAAGAAUGAUUGAUGAUAAAAUUAAACUC
This 752-nucleotide long non-coding RNA is filed under the name Citrus x clementina. RNAcentral's name for it is "Citrus clementina (C. clementina) long non-coding RNA (CCLE_LNC001432)". Lineage: Eukaryota; Viridiplantae; Streptophyta; Magnoliopsida; Sapindales; Rutaceae. The record is from RNAcentral.